UUCAUUCCACCUUCCUGAGCAGCACUGGUAUGUCCCAUCCACAUCUGAUCAGGGAAAAAGGAGGAAUAAAGGACCCCCCUUAGGUAGAGUCCAGGCAUUGGAAACAGCUGAGAUGCGUUCUAGAAAGCCGUGAAGAGAAUGGACUGGAACGAAGAGAAACUGAAAGUAGAGAAGGUGAUUAGAAAGUUAUCAAGAAUGACCAAGUGAGAAGCGAUGAAGACGUGAAGUAAAGCAACACCAUGCGGAAAGACAGAAGACAAUGGAAGAUAAAAGAGACUACUAGAAGCAAGGGAAGGGGAAGGG
This is a long non-coding RNA of Neogale vison (American mink), 303 nucleotides long. RefSeq lists it as uncharacterized. The transcript has 3 exons. Lineage: Eukaryota; Metazoa; Chordata; Mammalia; Carnivora; Mustelidae. The record is from RefSeq and is a predicted model, not a curated record.